Molecule: ribosomal RNA, 70 nt
Filed under: Vibrio cholerae BJG-01
Lineage: Bacteria; Pseudomonadati; Pseudomonadota; Gammaproteobacteria; Vibrionales; Vibrionaceae
Source: RNAcentral
UGGCGACCAUAGCGUUUUGGACCCACCUGAUUCCAUCCCGAACUCAGAAGUGAAACGAAACAGCGUCGAU